This 937-nucleotide ribosomal RNA is filed under the name uncultured bacterium. RNAcentral's name for it is "bacterial SSU rRNA". It matches the Rfam family "Bacterial small subunit ribosomal RNA", at positions 8 to 916 of the family's 1533-position model. The record is from RNAcentral.
AGAGUUUGAUCCUGGCUCAGAAUGAACGCUGGCGGCGUGCUUAACACAUGCAAGUCGUACGAGAACUCUUCUGCUUGCAGAAGAUAGUAAAGUGGCGAACGGGUGAGUAACGCGUGGGUAAUCUACCUUCGAAUCGGGGAUAACUCGCCGAAAGGCGGGCUAAUACCGGAUAAUAUCUAUUAUGCUUCGGCGUAUUAGAUCAAAAGUGGCCUCUACAUGUAAGCUGCUGUUUGAAGAUGAGCCCGCGUGCCAUUAGCUAGUUGGUAGGGUAAUGGCCUACCAAGGCUACGAUGGCUAGCUGGUCUGAGAGGAUGAUCAGCCACACUGGAACUGACACACGGUCCAGACUCCUACGGGAGGCAGCAGUGAGGAAUUUUGCGCAAUGGGGGAAACCCUGACGCAGCAACGCCGCGUGAGUGAUGAAGGCUUUCGGGUCGUAAAGCUCUGUCAAGUGGGAAGAAAAUGCUCGAUAUUAAUACUAUCGUGUACUGACGGUACCACUGAAGGAAGCACCGGCUAACUCCGUGCCAGCAGCCGCGGUAAUACGGGGGGUGCAAGCGUUAUUCGGAUUCAUUGGGCGUAAAGGGCGCGUAGGCGGCCUCUUAAGUCAGAUGUGAAAGCCCGGGGCUUAACCCCGGAAGUGCAUUUGAAACUAAGGGACUUGAGUAUGGGAGAGGGAAGUGGAAUUCCUGGUGUAGAGGUGAAAUUCGUAGAUAUCAGGAGGAACACCGGUGGCGAAGGCGACUUCCUGGACCAAUACUGACGCUGAGGCGCGAAGGCGUGGGGAGCAAACAGGAUUAGAUACCCUGGUAGUCCACGCAGUAAACGGUGAACACUAGGUGUAGCGGGUAUUGACCCCUGCUGUGCCGCAGCUAACGCAUUAAGUGUUCCGCCUGGGGAGUACGGUCGCAAGAUUAAAACUUAAAGGAAUUGACGG